ACCGGUGGCCAUAGCGAGGGAGAAACACCCGAUCCCAUCCCGAACUCGGUAGUUAAGCCCCUCAGCGCCGAUGGUACUGCGGGCGCGAGCUCGUGGGAGAGUAGGUCGCUGCCGGAG
This 117-nucleotide ribosomal RNA is filed under the name Gemmatimonadota bacterium. The record is from RNAcentral. Lineage: Bacteria; Pseudomonadati; Gemmatimonadota. RNAcentral also lists the same sequence under 1 other name.